AGGUGCUGGCAAGUAUCAGUGCUUUGGCCCCACUGUCUACAGUCUUAUCCAUUUGGCGCCUGAUCUAGUGCUCUCACAUUACCAGCAGUGGGUUCUGUUUUCGACUGUGAAAAGCUAACCCAUCAAGCAGUCUGCUGCUUCCAGCUACCGUAGUCCCACAACAUGAUGUUAAGCUGUAUGUUGCUGGUUUGUGGUGGUGCUGUUUGAGUUUGACAAGGAACAUAUUAUGCAAAGCAGUGCUGGCCCUGUCCCCAGGAGCAAAAGCACCUUGAAGCCACUCCAACGUCAGAGGAAAUGAGACAGGCCUUCCACUUCAGUUGGUGCUGAAGCAGGCAGAAAAGAACUGCAUGGCAGCAUCUGUCAGCAGCCUCAUGAUGUGAUGGUCUGUACUGUGUUGUUCUCAAAGAUGGAUGAUAAAAGAUAUUCCAGCAUACAUUAAGAUGGAGUUACAGUUCAAUACAUAGCAGGAACUUAAGGGUAAAAACAUUACAGGGAUGUUGAAAUUAACCCAAAACCAAGCAUUAAAAAUCGAGAACCUUCAGAGUAAAAAUCCAACCAUGUUAAGAUAUGGAAACACAUAGUUUAGGUACCUAUAUAACCUUAACUCUGCCCUGUGGGGGACACUGUGCAAUAAGCAGAUGAUUAUUAUGAAACCAUCUUAGCAGUUGGUCUAGAUUAAACUGAUUUUUAAAGCUUUUAGGAGUUUUUCAUCUCUCUUCCUACUCUCAGGUAUCACUACAGGACAGCAUUAAUGGUGUUUGGAUGCAUUAACUGUUUCAUUCUUGACCUAAUGGAACAAAAGGGCUUUUGUAAAAUGGAGGUUUGAAUGAUGGGAAGAGAGAGCUAACUUUUCAGUAAGUUACAUGAUGAAGCAAGGUGCGGUUUCUUCUGAUUAGACUGAACAUUUGUGGCCAAUGUCUGGAAACAAGACUUCCCCUCCCCCCCAACUUCCUCUAAUGGAGAAAUACUGGCACAUAAGGGAUACUACAGCAGUGGAGAAAAACUGAUUACACAUAGGAAGGCCCCAGUCCUGCAACUGACUCCAAAUAGGCCUACCUUGGUGUCCAUGUAGAGCCCUGUUCACUUCCAGAUGAGCCAGGGGUCUCCUGUGUGUUUCUCAGGGCAGGGUCAGGCACUAC
Dermochelys coriacea (leatherback sea turtle) is the source of this 1139-nucleotide long non-coding RNA. RefSeq lists it as uncharacterized. The transcript is spliced from 3 exons. The record is from RefSeq and is a predicted model, not a curated record. NCBI's taxonomy places the organism in Eukaryota, Metazoa, Chordata, Testudines, Dermochelyidae.